GGGUUGUAGCUCAAUGGUAGAGCGCUUGCCUUGCAUGUGUGAGGCACUGGGUUGAUCCUCAGCCUCA
Molecule: transfer RNA, 67 nt
Filed under: Marmota monax (woodchuck)
Lineage: Eukaryota; Metazoa; Chordata; Mammalia; Rodentia; Sciuridae
Description: tRNA.Ala
Source: RNAcentral